Molecule: ribosomal RNA, 431 nt
Filed under: uncultured bacterium
Lineage: Bacteria
Description: bacterial SSU rRNA
Rfam family: Bacterial small subunit ribosomal RNA
Source: RNAcentral
GACGAACGCUGGCGGCGUGCCUAACACAUGCAAGUCGAGCGGAGAUACAGGGGCUUGCCCCUGUAUUUUAGUGGCGGACGGGCGAGUAACGCGUGAGGAACCUGCCCUUCAGUGGGGAAUAACGGCUGGAAACGGUCGCUAAUACCGCAUGACACAUGGGUACCGCAUGGUACUGAUGUCAAAGGAGCAAUUCGCUGAAGGAUGGCCUUGCGUCCGAUUAGCUAGUUGGUGGGGUAACGGCCUACCAAGGCGACGAUCGGUAGCCGAACUGAGAGGUUGAUCGGCCGCAUUGGGACUGAGACACGGUCCAGACUCCUACGGGAGGCAGCAGUGGGGGAUAUUGGUCAAUGGGGGAAACCCUGAACCAGCAACGCCGCGUGAGGGAAGACGGCCUUCGGGUUGUAAACCUAAGUGAUCAGGGAUGAAGGAAG